RNAcentral lists this ribosomal RNA (1329 nucleotides) under Triticum aestivum (bread wheat). RNAcentral's name for it is "partial small subunit ribosomal RNA". Lineage: Eukaryota; Viridiplantae; Streptophyta; Magnoliopsida; Poales; Poaceae. The record is from RNAcentral.
AUGGGGCAGCUCAGGCCGGCGGCGGGAGGCGGCGGGGACUGCCUGAUCAAGCUGUUCGGGAAGACCAUCCCCGUGCCGGACGCCGGCGCCGGCGCCAACGCGGGAGACGUCGACAAGGACCUUCAGCACAGAGGCGGCAGCACCACGGCUGAACUAAAGGUGCAAGAAAUCGCCCCUCAGGACUCCACGGGCUCGCCUCAGCAGCCGGAGGUUGUGGACGUCGAGGAUCCAUCCGCUGCCAAGAACUCGGUGGCAGAUCAACAGGACGAAGAGCAGGGGGACACGGCCAACCAGAAGGAGAAGCUCAAGAAGCCUGACAAGAUCCUGCCCUGCCCCCGGUGUAGCAGCAUGGACACCAAGUUCUGCUACUACAACAACUACAACAUCAACCAGCCGCGCCACUUCUGCAAGAACUGCCAGAGGUACUGGACGGCCGGGGGCGCCAUGCGCAACGUGCCUGUGGGCGCGGGCCGCCGCAAGAGCAAGAGUCUAUCCGCCGCCUCCCACUUCCUUCAGAGGAUAAGGGCUGCUCUGCCCGGUGAUCCUCUCUGCACCCCAGUCAACACCAACGGCACGGUGCUCAGCUUCGGCUCCGAUGCGUCUACCUUAGACGUCUCAGAACAGAUGAAGCACAUCAAGGAGCUCGCCUCGGUAACCCGGACUGAGAACACCGAUGCCCCGUCAGUAGGAUCCUCUGCUGAAGGGUGGGCAAAGGGAGAAGAGUCGAGCCAAAUGAACUCGAGGGAGAGAGUUGCAGCAGAUAGAUCCGCAAAUUUUGUGCAGCAUCCGUGCAUGAACGGGGCAGCCAUGUGGCCAUUCAGUUGUGCACCGUCACCUGCCUAUUUCCCCUCAAACGUAGCAAUUCCAUUCUAUCCAGCUGCUGCUGCUGCCUACUGGGGCUGCAUGGUUCCGGGAGCCUGGAACACUCCAUGGCAGCCGCAGCCGCAGCCACAGUCUCAGUGUCAAUCUAACUCACCACCUAGUGCUGCUUCUCCGGUAUCGACAAUGUCCAGUUGCUUCCAAUCCCGAAAGCAUCCUAGAGAUGGUGAUGAGGAAAGAGAUACCAAGGGUAAUGGCAAGGUGUGGGUGCCCAAGACGAUCCGGAUCGAUGACGUAGAUGAGGUGGCCAGGAGUUCUAUCUGGUCACUUAUUGGGAUCAAGGGCGACAAGGUGGAGAAGGAUGAUGGCAAAGGCUGUAAGCUUGCAAGGGUUUUUGAUCCAAAGGAUGAGGCAAAGACGUCAAGCCACAGAGGUAACAAUAGCUUGCCAUUCUUGAAGGGGAACCCAGCUGCACUGUCGCGCUCAGUGAACUUCCAAGAGAGAUCUUGA